UUGUACACACCGCCCGUCACACCAUGGGAGUGAGUUGCAAAAGAAGUAGGUAGCUUAACCUUCGGGAGGGCGCUUACCACUUUGUGAUUCAUGACUGGGGUGAAGUCGUAACAAGGUAACCGUAGGGGAACCUGCGGUUGGAUCACCUCCUUACCUUAAAGAAGC
Molecule: ribosomal RNA, 165 nt
Filed under: Escherichia coli
Lineage: Bacteria; Pseudomonadati; Pseudomonadota; Gammaproteobacteria; Enterobacterales; Enterobacteriaceae
Description: partial 16S ribosomal RNA
Rfam family: Bacterial small subunit ribosomal RNA
Source: RNAcentral